RNAcentral lists this ribosomal RNA (936 nucleotides) under uncultured bacterium. RNAcentral describes it as "bacterial SSU rRNA". It matches the Rfam family "Bacterial small subunit ribosomal RNA", at positions 1 to 916 of the family's 1533-position model. The record is from RNAcentral.
UAGGUUUGAUCCUGGCUCAGAACGAACGCUGGCGGCGUGGAUAAGACAUGCAAGUCGAGCGCUGAUUCCGGGGUAGCAAUAUUCCGGAGUUGGAGCGGCGCAGGGUGCGUAAUACGUGGGCAAUCUGCCGUGAAGUUUGGGAUAACUUGCUGAAAGGCGAGCUAAUACCGGAUGUGAAUGUUGGGAGGCAUCUUCCGACAUUUGAAGCUGGGGACCGAAAGGCCUGGCGCUUCAUGAUGAGCCCGCGGCCUAUCAGCUAGUUGGUGAGGUAACGGCCCACCAAGGCGAAGACGGGUAGCUGGUCUGAGAGGACGACCAGCCACACUGGAACUGAGACACGGUCCAGACACCUACGGGUGGCAGCAGUCGAGAAUUUUUCACAAUGGGCGCAAGCCUGAUGGAGCGACGCCGCGUGGGGGAUGAAUGGCUUCGGCCCGUAAACCCCUGUCAUUCGCGAUCAACCCUUAUUAUUUAAAAGAUGAUAAGCUGAUAGUAGCGGAAGAGGAAGGGACGGCUAACUCUGUGCCAGCAGCCGCGGUAAUACAGAGGUCCCGAGCGUUGUUCGGAUUCACUGGGCGUAAAGGGUGCGUAGGUGGUCAGGUAAGUCGGAUGUGAAAUCUCGGAGCUCAACUCCGAAACGGCAUUGGAAACUACCUGGCUCGAGGAAUGGAGGGGGGACUGGAAUUCUCGGUGUAGCAGUGAAAUGCGUAGAUAUCGAGAGGAACACCAGUGGCGAAGGCGAGUCCCUGGACAUCUCCUGACACUGAGGCACGAAAGCUAGGGGAGCAAACAGGAUUAGAUACCCUGGUAGUCCUAGCCGUAAACGGUGCACGUUUGCUGUAAGCGGAAUCGACCCCGCUUGUGGUGUAGCCCAACGCGUUAAACGUGCCGCCUGGGAAGUACGGUCGCAAGAUUAAAACUCAAAGGAAUUGACGG